AGAAAAAAUUCAUUUUUUGAAAAAUAAAAAUUUAGUGAAGUAAAACAUUUUAGUAACUAAAAAAAAAAUCAACCGAGAAAUCGUUAGUAGUGGCGAGCGAAUGCGAUAAAUAGACUGUAUAAUAACUAGAGGCGAAAAAUUAUUUAUGUAAAUAAAUAAAAACCAAAGAAGGUAUAUAAAAGAAUAAGUCCUGUAGAACUCUUAACGAAAGUAGUUAUAAAAUACGAAUAAACAGCGGAUUAUGUUAAAUCUGUUGAUUAAUGAGGAUCUACCCUCAAGUCUAAAAAUUUUCAAUAAUCGAUAGUGUACAAGUACCGUGAGGGAAAGGUGAAAAAGUACUUUAAUAGGGUAAAAUAUAAAGAACCUAAAAUUUAAUGCAUAUAAUCAGUUGGAGCUUUUUAAUUAAAAGUGACAGCGUACCUUUUGCAUAAUGGGCCAGUGAUUUUUUUUUUAUAGCAAGCUUAAUAAACAAGAAUUAGUAGGCGUAAAAAAUUUGAUUUUGAAAUCAAAAGAGAAAGUUAUAAAAAAAAGACCCGAAGCUGAGUGAUCUAACCAUGAACAGGUUGAAGAAUAUUGCGGCAACGCAGUUUGGAGGACCGAACCCGUGUCUGUAGAAAAAUACUGGGAUGAUUUGUGGUUAGGAGUGAAAGGCUAAUCAAACUCAGGUAUAGCUGGUUUUCUGCGAAAUAUAUUUUAGUAUAGCCUGCAAGUAAAGUUAAUGUAGGGUAGAGCACUUUUUAUUUAAGGGGGGUCUAAGACCUUACUGAUUAUAGAAAAACUCCGAAUAUGCAUUAAGAUUUUUGUGGAGUCAGACAAUAGGUGCGAAGGUCUAUUGUCAAGAGGGAAACAGCCCAGAGCACCAGUUAAGGCCCCUAAAUAAUUACUAAGUGAUAAAGGAGGUGGGAGUGCAGAAACAAUCAGGAGGUUUGCUUAGAAGCAGCAAUCCUUUAAAGAGUGCGUAAUAGCUCACUGAUCGAGUAAACCUGCGCCGAAAAUGUACGGGACUAAGUAAUUUGCCGAAACUGUGCGAUAUAUUUGAAAUAUAUCGGUAGGGGAGCGUUCUGUUGUAGGUUGAAGUAUUAGCGGAAGCGGAUAUGGACGAAGCAGAAGUGAGAAUGUCGGCUUGAGUAACGAAAAUAUAGGUGAGAAUCCUAUACCCCGAAAACCCAAGGUUUCCUCCGGAAGGCUCGUCCGCGGAGGGUAAGUCAGGACCUAAGGCGAGGCUGAAAAGCGUAGUCGAUGGAUAACGGGUUAAUAUUCCCGUACCAUUAUUUAUUGAUAACGAGGGACGGAGAAGGCUAAGCUGGCCGGAUAUUGGUUACCGGUUUAAGCGUUCGAGAUGUUGAGAAACGGAGAAAACGUUUUGAGUUGAGACGUGAAUACGAGAUGCUACGGCAUUGAAGCAGUGUAUGUCAGACUUCCAAGAAAAGCUCGCAAUGUCAUAAAUAAAUAAUGCCUGUACCAUAACCGACACAGGUGGGUAGGUAGAGUAUACUAAGGGGCGCGAGAUAACUCUCUCUAAGGAACUCGGCAAAAUGACUCCGUAACUUCGGGAGAAGGAGUGCCUUAUUCUAUAAGGUUGCAAUAACAAGAUCCAAGCAACUGUUUACCAAAAACACAGGUCUCCGCUAAGUCGUAAGACGAUGUAUGGGGGCUGACGCCUGCCCAGUGCCAGAAGGUUAAAGAAGUUGGUUAGCAUUUGCGAAGCUGGUAACUGAAGCCCUGGUGAACGGCGGCCGUAACAAUAACGGUCCUAAGGUAGCG
Molecule: ribosomal RNA, 1764 nt
Filed under: Durinskia baltica
Lineage: Eukaryota; Dinophyceae; Peridiniales; Kryptoperidiniaceae
Description: partial Bacterial large subunit ribosomal RNA
Rfam family: Bacterial large subunit ribosomal RNA
Source: RNAcentral